This is a non-coding RNA of Taeniopygia guttata (zebra finch), 1662 nucleotides long. NCBI's taxonomy places the organism in Eukaryota, Metazoa, Chordata, Aves, Passeriformes, Estrildidae. The record is from RefSeq and is a predicted model, not a curated record.
AGAUGUGUGCCCUGCAGCAGUCAGUGUAACCUGGCUAACACAAGCACAGCUCAGUGUGCUCCAUGGCAGGAAAAUCUCAUUGCAUCCUGGCUAGAAGUGACUGCUGGGGUGAAAUGUUUCCAUGAAAUUGGUACCUGUAUUAACUGCUUUCAUGUAUAUCCCGAAUGCAUCUUUAACCUGCAAUGCAGAUAUUCCUGAGGAACAGGAGGGGUGCUUGUUUAUACAUUGCCAUUUUCCAUUGCCAUUUUACUUGCCAUAUCUCAGCCAGUACAGGAGGGGCAUCAUUAUGUAGAGAGCAUCUAAAACGCUAUGAACAGUAGGGGAGAGAAAGAUGCAUGGAAGAAAAGCAACUGAAGAGCUUUUUUAGAAAAUUAGGUGUCCAUGUUUGCAGACAACUGUGAAAGCAGAGUUGUGAAGAGGUACUUUUCCGGUGAAUCUGGAAAAGGUGAAAAAUGCCUUCAUCACUCUGGAUGGAGAAGAGACUUAUAUAAAACUGUUGGCUUGAAGCAUUUUUUUGUGCAUGGGACAAAACUUACUCUACAUUUUACUUUAACCAGCAUAGUACAGAGAGCACACCUUAUAGAAUUGUCCCACAGGAUGUUUGUUUUAGUAUCAGCCCCAAGAUUAACCUUUGGGAUAUUGAAAAAGAUCUGUUAAAGAUAGCGGCUUCCAAGUGGUCUUUUGUUUUUCCCCCAUAUUCCUUUUCUGUUUUAAACCUUGAAUCUUGUUCUUGUUUAAUUGUUUAGGCUAAUGCUGUCUAACCAAAAGCAGACAUGGGCUACCAUGAUGGGUAAUCUGCUGGUCCAGCUUCUGACAUUAGUCAGACUAUUCCCUAGAAAUUAAGUCAUGCCUCAGAAGGCUGUUUCUAUUUUGGAGACAUUUCAGGUGCUUAAUGUGUAGUAAGCUGUUAAAAUAUUUCAUUAAAUACUUCUCUUUCCUUCUACUCCUCAUUUGUUGGUGCCAAAAUUUCACAGCUGGAGAAGGUUGUUUCUUUUUUUUUUUUUUUUUUUAACCAUGAUUUUGAAAGGUAAUCCAGCUCUGAGCAGGAAUAGUCAGCAUAUCCCCUGAGCAAUAGGCUCAGAUGUUCUGCAUUGACUGCUAUUUUGAUAUUCUUGGAUGGAAAUCCAUCACUUAAUACUCAAACAUGAGGCACAUACUGGUUCUCUGGCAUGCCUUCGCCUGUGACCAUCUGUUGGGGUGGCACUACGCCCACUCAAAAAACUCCCUGCCAGUUUCAAGAGGGCAUAGGUAUUAACCAAAUAUAGAUUUUGAAAGACAGCUAGUAAAAUGCUAGGGAUGUCAUUUUAGCUGCAAGACUAUUUCUCUUGUUGUUAGGCAAUCCCAGACUGGGUCCACGCGUUUCAGAGGAAAGCUUGCAGGCACACUGUAAGCUCACUGCAAACCUGCCUGUUUAUGCACAUAUAUAAAAAGCAGUUUACAACUGUAGAAAGACAAAAUUCCUGUCCAUCUGAAUAUUAAAUAAUUUGAAACAGAUGAGAAAAUAACAUGGACAAGCUGAAGAGCAGAUUGGAAAGAAGCUAAGAAAGUGAAAAAGUGGGAAAUGGAGAAAAAAAACAAUGAAAACCAAGUUGUCCACAGGACAGAAUCAUAUGACCUCAAAGACAGAAGCAUGAAACCUGAAUCUGAUGUGGAAAGAAGGAA